Molecule: ribosomal RNA, 497 nt
Filed under: uncultured bacterium
Lineage: Bacteria
Description: partial 16S ribosomal RNA
Rfam family: Bacterial small subunit ribosomal RNA
Source: RNAcentral
GAUGAACGCUGGCGGCGUGCCUAAUACAUGCAAGUCGAGCGAACAGACGAGGAGCUUGCUCCUCUGACGUUAGCGGCGGACGGGUGAGUAACACGUGGAUAACCUACCUAUAAGACUGGGAUAACUUCGGGAAACCGGAGCUAAUACCGGAUGAUAUUUUGAACCGCAUGGUUCAAAAGUGAAAGACGGUCUUGCUGUCACUUAUAGAUGGAUCCGCGCUGCAUUAGCUAGUUGGUAAGGUAACGGCUUACCAAGGCAACGAUGCAUAGCCGACCUGAGAGGGUGAUCGGCCACACUGGAACUGAGACACGGUCCAGACUCCUACGGGAGGCAGCAGUAGGGAAUCUUCCGAAAUGGGCGAAAGCCUGACGGAGCAACGCCGCGUGAGUGAUGAAGGUCUUCGGAUCGGAAAACUCUGUUAUUAGGGAAGAACAUAUGUGUAAGUAACUGUGCACAUCUUGACGGUACCUAAUCAGAAAGCCACGGCUAACUACGUG